This 361-nucleotide ribosomal RNA is filed under the name uncultured bacterium. Its description in RNAcentral is "bacterial SSU rRNA". It matches the Rfam family "Bacterial small subunit ribosomal RNA", at positions 30 to 387 of the family's 1533-position model. The record is from RNAcentral.
AUUGAACGCUGGUGGCAUGCCUUACACAUGUAAGUCGAACGGCAGCACGGGAGCAAUCCUGGUGGCGAGUGGCGAACGGGUGAGUAAUAUAUCGGAACGUGCCCAGUCGUGGGGGAUAACGUAGCGAAAGCUACGCUAAUACCGCAUACGAUCUACGGAUGAAAGCGGGGGACUCGCAAGAGCCUCGCGCGAUUGGAGCGGCCGAUAUCAGAUUAGGUAGUUGGUGGGGUAAAGGCGUCACCAAGCCAACGAUCUGUAGCUGGUCUGAGAGGACGACCAGCCACACUGGAACUGAGACACGGUCCAGACUCCUACGGGAGGCAGCAGUGGGGAAUUUUGGGACAAUGGACGCAAGUCUGAU